AAUUGUCGCUACAAACUUUAAUUUUAGUUGCUAUAAGAUGUCUAACUAUUAGUAACCACUUAUAGCUACCAAAUGUUCGGUGGUCGCAACAAGAUUUAACACUUCCCACUUUUGCUACAAAAUUACGUUUGGUCACUAAAUGUGAACAUUCAGUGACCAUUUAGUUAUGGUCGCUGAGAAUUUGGUCACUGAAACUAGUUUUUCUUGUAGUGG
RNAcentral lists this long non-coding RNA (213 nucleotides) under Erythranthe guttata (spotted monkey flower). RNAcentral describes it as "long non-coding RNA (EGUT_LNC003118)". Lineage: Eukaryota; Viridiplantae; Streptophyta; Magnoliopsida; Lamiales; Phrymaceae. The record is from RNAcentral.